UUCUUUCAGUAAUGGUCUUUUAAUACUGCCCUUAUCGACUACCUUGUCAACAUUGGAAUCCACCUUAUUUCAUCAUCGUCAACACCAAAAAGCCAAACAAUGGCAGAUGGUGGAGUUUGAAAAGAAUAAUUGGGACUCUUUGAAUGGCGAUUGAAGUUCAACUGAUACUCAGACCAUGUUGCUUGAAAGAUCCCAAUAAUGAGGUUUUUCAAUACCGGAAACUGUAGAGGGUUCUUUGUUUCCGGCGGUGGAAUGGACGCAUCAAUCACUAGGUUUGAAGAGGGGUUAUCGCAUAUAUGGUCAGCCUAGGGUUAGGAUGAAGAUGCACUGGCACAGGAGACCACUCCAGUCGAUGAUGAGGUAUUUGAAACACGUUGAAAUUACAAAUGAGGGAUUGACGAGUGAAGAAGGGAAUAAGAGGCUUAAUGUAUUGGCCCUAACAAGCUAGAAGAGAACAAGGUAGACCAAUAACUACUAUUAAAACAUUAUAUUUGGUCUUUGAUUUGGCAACAUCAUUGAUAUAUAGUGUUUCUUUCUAGGCAUAUACUUCUGUGUUAUACCUCAGAAAGUUUGACAACUUCAAAAUUCAUUUUAAGAGGGAAACCUUAGGGUGCAAACGAGCAGAGCGGCUCGCGAGCUACUCGAGAUCGGCUCGAGAAAAAGCUCGAAACGAACCGAGCUUGAGCCUAAAAUAAAAGCUCGUUUGUUUAUCGAGCCCGAGCUCGAGCCUUACUGUAAACGAGCCGAGCCAAGCUGAGCUUAUUUAAACUUGUUUAUGAGCCGACCCCGAACCUAAAAAUAAGCUUAUUUAGUAACGAGCCCGAGCCCGAGCUUCACUUAUCGACCUCGCGAGCCUAAAAAGUCUAUUAUGUAUAUUUUCUUAUUUAAUAUAUUAAUUAUAAGAUAAUAAACGAGUCGAACCCAAGCGAGCUCGAGCUUUGAAAACAAAGCUCGAAUCUAGCCGAGCUAGAGCUCUCAUAAGUUAAUCGAGCUCGAGCUUGGUCAAGCUCGGGCUCGGCUCGUUUGCACCCCGAAACCUACAUGUUUUCUGUAGAACAGGUAAUAUUGCACUAUAUGAUAUGUGUUUAGGACCUUGUUACAAGAUUUGGCUGGAAACUACAUAUCUAUAUCUAUAGUUGUAUUGUUUUUCGUGAUCUAUCUUAUGUAGGCUGUUGCAGAGACAACCCUGGGAUUUAUAAAAGAAGCACCAGCUACUAGAAUUACUGGAUUUAAUGUGUACCAUAAAAAAAGUGUAUGAUUCGUGUAGAAUCGAGGCUUUGAUUUAAUUUAGGAUGUUUUUAAGUUUAUUAGUCAAUAUGUAAUUUUUUAUUUCAGCCCUACUGGAAAGUAACCGGUGAGGGACAUUCGAAAGGGUAUGGGCAUAGUCAGAGUUCUUGAAGCAAAUUUCACAGAACCGGCACACGACAAGCAAGAUUUUUUGUGUUUUUACGGCUGGAAAUGAAGCUAAAAGUCUAAAACAAAUGCAAUUGAAAUACUGGUUUGUUUUUCUUUUUUAAACACAAUUACAUUUUAGUAAUUUACAUUUGAGAUUUUUUUGGUAAAGAACACAUGAGACCAUGAUUGGACACGUAGUCGAAAUGGGGGUUCAUGCUAUAUUAUUGUUGAUUAUUGAUGUUGCUACUUAUUUUAAAUUUCUUGAAAUGCAAAAGAUAACAAGAGUCCUUAUCUGUCGGGGGGUAUUAUCUACAAAUGGACUGUACAAAUGAUUCACACCCGAAUUUUAUUGGUGGCAGUAAGGAUGUAGAGUUGCCUAUGCAGCAAGUCAAGUCUUCUUUUUUUUUUUUUUUGGGUAAAGUGCAGCAAGUCAAGUCUUCUAGGAUUGCUUCGGCAGUUUCAAGGCAAAAGGAUGCUGCUGCUGAGUUGGAUAAAGCACCACAAUGUAUCAAGUGAUGCACAUUUCUUAAAUUAACAAGUGUAGUGUGCAGAUUUAGUUUGUUGUGAUGGGCUUCUUUGGAAAUUCAUGGUGAGCAGUUACCGCCAAACAUCCAGAAAGAAAGGAUAUGCAUAAGUUGCUCUGAAUCAGGUUGAAAUAUUUUCAUGUUGCAAGGAGAUUGUUUAAAUAUGACACAUUACAAGGUGUUCAGAAAGAACGAGUCUUGAGGUUAAUGAACUAGAAAGAACAAAGAAUAUCUUACCAAUGGAAAAAAGUGACAACAUGAACUACAAUACUCAUAGGACCGUAUCUCUGAUGGAAAAAAGUGACAGCAUGAAGAAUUCCAAUGCUGCUAAGAUGGUAUCUCAGAUUUAGCUUCCUUAUUUUAGAGGUGGUCUUAUGUUAACAAAUGAGUCAAAACCAGACAUUUUAGAUGUGGUCAUUAUUUUAAGAAAUGAGUCAAAUGAAGUAAUAUUAUAUCUUCUAACCAGACAGAUGGAAAAUUUCUAAACAGACAAGGUCAAAAGGGCCGAAACCUCAUUUGUAAUUUGUAUGCAUAUCCAUGUCCUUUUAUCUAGAUGAUCAUUUAUAUAGUAAAAUGGCACAAGUUGUGUAAA
Molecule: long non-coding RNA, 2511 nt
Organism: Helianthus annuus (common sunflower)
Lineage: Eukaryota; Viridiplantae; Streptophyta; Magnoliopsida; Asterales; Asteraceae
Exons: 7
Source: RefSeq, a predicted model, not a curated record